AGAGUGCGUAAUAGCUCACUAGUCGAGUGACACUGCGCCGAAAAUGUACCGGGGCUAAACAUAUUACCGAAGCUGUGGAUUGUCCUUUGGACAAUGGUAGGAGAGCGUUCUAAGGGCGUUGAAGCAUGAUCGUAAGGACAUGUGGAGCGCUUAGAAGUGAGAAUGCCGGUGUGAGUAGCGAAAGACGGGUGAGAAUCCCGUCCACCGAUUGACUAAGGUUUCCAGAGGAAGGCUCGUCCGCUCUGGGUUAGUCGGGUCCUAAGCUGAGGCCGACAGGCGUAGGCGAUGGAUAACAGGUUGAUAUUCCUGUACCACCUAUAAUCGUUUUAAUCGAUGGGGGGACGCAGUAGGAUAGGCGAAGCGUGCGAUUGGAUUGCACGUCUAAGCAGUAAGGCUGAGUAUUAGGCAAAUCCGGUACUCGUUAAGGCUGA
RNAcentral lists this ribosomal RNA (431 nucleotides) under Staphylococcus aureus. RNAcentral describes it as "partial 23S ribosomal RNA". It matches the Rfam family "Bacterial large subunit ribosomal RNA", at positions 1127 to 1559 of the family's 2925-position model. Lineage: Bacteria; Bacillati; Bacillota; Bacilli; Caryophanales; Staphylococcaceae. The record is from RNAcentral.